RNAcentral lists this ribosomal RNA (491 nucleotides) under uncultured bacterium. Its description in RNAcentral is "bacterial SSU rRNA". It matches the Rfam family "Bacterial small subunit ribosomal RNA", at positions 15 to 518 of the family's 1533-position model. The record is from RNAcentral.
GAUUCUGGCUCAGGAUGAACGCUGGCGGCGUGCUUAACACAUGCAAGUCGAACGAAGUUAAGUGAAACCUAGUGAUCUUAACUUAGUGGCGGACGGGUGAGUAACGCGUGGGUAACCUGCCGCAUGCAGGGGGACAACAGUUGGAAACGACUGCUAAUACCGCAUAAGCGCACGGGACCGCAUGGUCCAGUGUGAAAAGAUUUAUCGGCAUGCGAUGGACCCGCGUCCGAUUAGCCAGUUGGCGGGGUAACGGCCCACCAAAGCGACGAUCGGUAGCCGGCCUGAGAGGGUGAACGGCCACAUUGGGACUGAGACACGGCCCAAACUCCUACGGGAGGCAGCAGUGGGGAAUAUUGCACAAUGGGGGAAACCCUGAUGCCAGCGACGCCGCGUGAGUGAUGAAGUAUUUCGGUACGUAAAGCUCUAUCAGCAGGAAAGAAAAUGACGGUACCUGACUAAGAAGCCCCGGCUAACUACGUGCCAGCCGCGGC